GCCGGCCUAGCUCAAYUGGUAGAGCAACUGACUUGUAAUCAGUAGGUUGGGGGUUCAAGUCCUCUGGCCGGCACCA
RNAcentral lists this transfer RNA (76 nucleotides) under Staphylococcus aureus. Its description in RNAcentral is "tRNA-Thr". It matches the Rfam family "tRNA". From Rfam's summary of the family: Transfer RNA (tRNA) molecules are approximately 80 nucleotides in length. Their secondary structure includes four short double-helical elements and three loops (D, anti-codon, and T loops). Further hydrogen bonds mediate the characteristic L-shaped molecular structure. tRNAs have two regions of fundamental functional importance: the anti-codon, which is responsible for specific mRNA codon recognition, and the 3' end, to which the tRNAs corresponding amino acid is attached (by aminoacyl-tRNA synthetases). tRNAs cope with the degeneracy of the genetic code in two manners: having more than one tRNA (with a specific anti-codon) for a particular amino acid; and 'wobble' base-pairing, i.e. permitting non-standard base-pairing at the 3rd anti-codon position. Lineage: Bacteria; Bacillati; Bacillota; Bacilli; Caryophanales; Staphylococcaceae. The record is from RNAcentral. RNAcentral also lists the same sequence under 1 other name.